UCUACUCUGCUAGUCUUGGGAAUGGGCAUGAGUUGUUUGUAAUUUGGUUUUAGAGUUUUGUUUUCAUUUUUAUGUUUAUUUUUUUUAUGUUUUAUGUUUCAUGGUAUUUAAUAUAUAUAUAUAUAUAUGUCAAACCUUAAUAGAUUUAAUAUAAUUAAUAUAUAACCUUAUAAGUACAAUCGAACCAAAACUAGUACAGACAAGGGGAAUUCAACUGUUUAAUUAAAAUAAAGCAUUGCGAUGGUCCCUGCGGAUGCUGACACAAUGUGAUUUAUGCCUAGUGCUCUACAUGUCAAAGUGAAUAAAUUCAACCAACUGUGGGUAAACGACGAGAGUAACUAUGAAUAUCUUAAGGUAUCCAAAUGCCUCAUCAUCUAAUUAGUGACGUGCACGAAUGGAUUGAGAAGAUUCCCACCGUCCCUAUCUACUAUAUAGAGAAACCAUAACCAAGGGAAUGAGCUUGGCAGAAUCAACGAGGAAAGAAGAUCUUGUUGAGCUUGACUGUAGUUUGUCUUUGUGAAAUGACUUGAGAGGUGUAGAAUAAGUUGGAGUUGUUUUUGAUACAAGUGAAAUACCACUACUUUUAACGUUAUUUUACUUAUUUUGUGGGGCAGAGAUGAGGCAUCGCCCCUGUUUUUGGCCAUAAGACACGUUUCGACGGGUCGUUCUGGGUGGAAUACAUUGUCAGGUGGGGAGUUUGGCUGGGGUGGCACAUCUAUUAAAAGAUAAUUCAUGUGUCCUAAGAUGAGCUCAACGAGAACAUAAAUCUCAUGUGGAACAAAAGGGUAAAAGCUCAUUUGAUUUUCCACCAACCUCUUGAUGCUUAUAAUUCAUUAAUGGACAUGAAUUAAUACAUCAAUUAGAUGUUUUCAUGCAUCAACAUAGUUAAUUUAAAAUACUAAUUGCUUGAGUAAGAUUAAGUGGCCAAUGAUGCAUCUAGAGGAAUGGUUCAUGCAGCCCCAGGAGAGGAUAGGAUAAUAGGACUAGAGAUGUGUGGAGGGAGUAUAAAUACAUAAUUAAUGUUAAUCACACUCACCAAUGACUAAGGACCAACUUUUGACAUGCAAGAAAGUUAUUGUGAUUAAUCUGAACCUUUCAUUUAUGAGGACGACAAAUAAUAUUCCAUUUCUAUUAAAUCAUGUCCGCAGAAAGAAGAUGCAUCAUUAAUAUAGAAAUGUUUAGGACUAUUUGAUUUGUAUAAUUUUAAAUAGUAAAGAAGGGUAAAUGUCAUACAAUUUUAAAUUUUUUCAAUUUAUUAUUAUUAGAAUAUGUCUAGACAAUCUUGAUUGAAAUUGUAAUUUUGGAUUUGAUGAAAUUGUAAUUUUAGGUUGGAGGCAUUUCUUCAAUGUAGUUGU
This is a non-coding RNA of Picea glauca (white spruce), 1355 nucleotides long. The record is from Rfam. NCBI's taxonomy places the organism in Eukaryota, Viridiplantae, Streptophyta, Pinopsida, Pinales, Pinaceae.